Molecule: ribosomal RNA, 647 nt
Filed under: Salmonella enterica subsp. enterica serovar Infantis
Lineage: Bacteria; Pseudomonadati; Pseudomonadota; Gammaproteobacteria; Enterobacterales; Enterobacteriaceae
Also listed under: 2 other names
Description: partial 23S ribosomal RNA
Rfam family: Bacterial large subunit ribosomal RNA
Source: RNAcentral
UUUGAAGCGUGGACGCCAGUCUGCGUGGAGCCGACCUUGAAAUACCACCCUUUAAUGUUUGAUGUUCUAACGUGGAUCCGUAAUCCGGGUUGCGGACAGUGUCUGGUGGGUAGUUUGACUGGGGCGGUCUCCUCCUAAAGAGUAACGGAGGAGCACGAAGGUUGGCUAAUCCUGGUCGGACAUCAGGAGGUUAGUGCAAUGGCAUAAGCCAGCUUGACUGCGAGCGUGACGGCGCGAGCAGGUGCGAAAGCAGGUCAUAGUGAUCCGGUGGUUCUGAAUGGAAGGGCCAUCGCUCAACGGAUAAAAGGUACUCCGGGGAUAACAGGCUGAUACCGCCCAAGAGUUCAUAUCGACGGCGGUGUUUGGCACCUCGAUGUCGGCUCAUCACAUCCUGGGGCUGAAGUAGGUCCCAAGGGUAUGGCUGUUCGCCAUUUAAAGUGGUACGCGAGCUGGGUUUAGAACGUCGUGAGACAGUUCGGUCCCUAUCUGCCGUGGGCGCUGGAGAACUGAGGGGGGCUGCUCCUAGUACGAGAGGACCGGAGUGGACGCAUCACUGGUGUUCGGGUUGUCAUGCCAAUGGCACUGCCCGGUAGCUAAAUGCGGAAGAGAUAAGUGCUGAAAGCAUCUAAGCACGAAACUUGCCCCGA